UGGCGGCAGGCUUAACACAUGCAAGUCGAGCGGUAGCAGAUCUAGCUUGCUAGAUGCUGACGAGCGGCGGACGGGUGAGUAACGCGUAGGAACCUGCCCAGUGGUGGGGGAUAGCCCGGGGAAACUCGGAUUAAUACCGCAUACGCUCUACGGAGGAAAAGAGGGGGCUUCGGCUCUCGCUAUUGGAUGGGCCUGCGUGAGAUUAGCUAGUUGGUGAGGUAAUGGCUCACCAAGGCGACGAUCUCUAGCUGGUCUGAGAGGAUGAUCAGCCACACUGGGACUGAGACACGGCCCAGACUCCUACGGGAGGCAGCAGUGGGGAAUAUUGCACAAUGGGCGCAAGCCUGAUGCAGCCAUGCCGCGUGUGUGAAGAAGGCUUUCGGGUUGUAAAGCACUUUCAGUGGGGAGGAAGGCCUCGUAGUUAAUAGCUGCGAGGAUUGACGUUACCCACAGAAGAAGCACCGGCUAACUCCGUG
This 476-nucleotide ribosomal RNA is filed under the name uncultured bacterium. RNAcentral's name for it is "bacterial SSU rRNA". It matches the Rfam family "Bacterial small subunit ribosomal RNA", at positions 37 to 507 of the family's 1533-position model. The record is from RNAcentral.